AGAGUUUGAUCCUGGCUCAGGACGAACGCUGGCGGCGCGCCUAACACAUGCAAGUCGAACGAGCGAGAGAGAGCUUGCUUUCUCAAGCGAGUGGCGAACGGGUGAGUAACGCGUGAGGAACCUGCCUCAAAGAGGGGGACAACAGUUGGAAACGACUGCUAAUACCGCAUAAGCCCACGGCUCGGCAUCGAGCAGAGGGAAAAGGAGCAAUCCGCUUUGAGAUGGCCUCGCGUCCGAUUAGCUAGUUGGUGAGGUAACGGCCCACCAAGGCGACGAUCGGUAGCCGGACUGAGAGGUUGAACGGCCACAUUGGGACUGAGACACGGCCCAGACUCCUACGGGAGGCAGCAGUGGGGAAUAUUGCACAAUGGGGGAAACCCUGAUGCAGCGACGCCGCGUGGAGGAAGAAGGUCUUCGGAUUGUAAACUCCUGUUGUUGAGGAAGAUAAUGACGGUACUCAACAAGGAAGUGACGGCUAACUACGUGCCAGCAGCCGCGGUAAAACGUAGGUCACAAGCGUUGUCCGGAAUUACUGGGUGUAAAGGGAGCGCAGGCGGGAAGACAAGUUGGAAGUGAAAUCCAUGGGCUCAACCCAUGAACUGCUUUCAAAACUGUUUUUCUUGAGUAGUGCAGAGGUAGGCGGAAUUCCCGGUGUAGCGGUGGAAUGCGUAGAUAUCGGGAGGAACACCAGUGGCGAAGGCGGCCUACUGGGCACCAACUGACGCUGAGGCUCGAAAGUGUGGGUAGCAAACAGGAUUAGAUACCCUGGUAGUCCACACUGUAAACGAUGAUUACUAGGUGUUGGAGGAUUGACCCCUUCAGUGCCGCAGUUAACACAAUAAGUAAUCCACCUGGGGAGUACGACCGCAAGGUUGAAACUCAAAGGAAUUGACGGGGGCCCGCACAAGCAGUGGAGUAUGUGGUUUAAUUCGACGCAACGCGAAGAACCUUACCAAGUCUUGACAUCCUGCGACGCACAUAGAAAUAUGUGUUUCCUUCGGGACGCAGAGACAGGUGGUGCAUGGUUGUCGUCAGCUCGUGUCGUGAGAUGUUGGGUUAAGUCCCGCAACGAGCGCAACCCUUAUGGUCAGUUACUACGCAAGAGGACUCUGGCCAGACUGCCGUUGACAAAACGGAGGAAGGUGGGGAUGACGUCAAAUCAUCAUGCCCUUUAUGACUUGGGCUACACACGUACUACAAUGGCGUUAAACAAAGAGAAGCAAGACCGCGAGGUGGAGCAAAACUCAGAAACAACGUCCCAGUUCGGACUGCA
This 1273-nucleotide ribosomal RNA is filed under the name metagenome. RNAcentral describes it as "bacterial SSU rRNA". It matches the Rfam family "Bacterial small subunit ribosomal RNA", at positions 8 to 1302 of the family's 1533-position model. The record is from RNAcentral.